GACGAACGCUGGCGGCGUGCUUAACACAUGCAAGUCGAACGAAGUGGCGAACGGGUGAGUAACGCGUAAUCAACCUGCUCUUAAGAGGGGGACAACAGUUGGAAACGACUGCUAAUACCGCAUACAGAAGGAGGGGCUUGCGACUGAUUAGCUAGUUGGAGGGGUAACGGCCCACCAAGGCGAUGAUCAGUAGCCGGGUGGAUAGGAUGAACGACCAAAUUGGGACUGAGACACGGCCCAGACUCCUACGGGAGGCAGCAGUGGGGAAUCUUCCGCAAGGGACGAAAGUCGGACGGAGCAACGCCGCGUGAGUGAUGACGGCCUUCGGGUUGAAAAGCUCUGUUAAUCGGGACGCGGUACCGGAAUAGAAAGCCACGGCUAACUACGUGCCAGCAGCCGCGGUAAUAC
Molecule: ribosomal RNA, 408 nt
Filed under: uncultured bacterium
Lineage: Bacteria
Description: partial 16S ribosomal RNA
Rfam family: Bacterial small subunit ribosomal RNA
Source: RNAcentral